RNAcentral lists this ribosomal RNA (867 nucleotides) under Thermotogae bacterium enrichment culture. RNAcentral's name for it is "bacterial SSU rRNA". It matches the Rfam family "Bacterial small subunit ribosomal RNA", at positions 28 to 904 of the family's 1533-position model. Lineage: Bacteria; Thermotogati; Thermotogota; Thermotogae. The record is from RNAcentral.
GGUGAACGCUGGCGGCGUGCUUGACACAUGCAAGUCGAACGGUAUGUGGCAACACAUAGAGUGGCGAACGGGUGAGUAACACGUGGGAACGUAUCUUUUGCAGGGGGAUAACUGACCGAAAGGACAGCUAAUACCGCAUAAGUCCGAGAGGAGAAAGGUGCAACAGCAUCGGCAGAAGAGCGGCCCGCGGUCCAUCAGCUAGUUGGUGAGGUAAGGGCUUACCAAGGCGACGACGGAUAGCCGGCGUGAGAGCGUGGCCGGCCACAAGGACACUGAGAUACGGGUCCUACUCCUACGGGAGGCAGCAGUGCGGAAUUUUAGAUAAUGGAGGGAACUCUGAUCUAGCGACGCCGCGUGCAGGAAGAAGGUCUUCGGAUUGUAAACUGCUGUGGUAAGGGAAAAAUGCUAUGUAGAGUGGAAAGCUACAUAGAGGGAUGGUACCUUACUAGAAAGCCCCGGCUAACUACGUGCCAGCAGCCGCGGUAAUACGUAGGGGGCGAGCGUUACCCGGAAUCACUGGGCGUAAAGGGAGCGUAGGUGGCCUAACAUGUCAACUAUGAAAACCCGGAGCUCAACUCCGGACUUGCAGUUGAAACUGGUAGGCUUGAGGACGGUAGAGGAAGACGGAACUGCCAGUGUAGGGGUAAAAUCCUUAGAUAUUGGCAGGAACGCCGGUGACGAAGGUGGUUUUCUGGGCCGGUUCUGACACUGAUGCUCGAAAGCCAGGGGAGCGAACGGGAUUAGAUACCCCGGUAGUCCUGGCCCUAAACGAUGUUCACUAGGUGUGGGGAGCGGAAAGCUCUCCGUGCUAAAGCUAACGCGAUAAGUGAACCGCCUGGGGAGUACGCCCGCAAGGGUGAAACUCAA